Molecule: ribosomal RNA, 1461 nt
Filed under: uncultured Bordetella sp.
Lineage: Bacteria; Pseudomonadati; Pseudomonadota; Betaproteobacteria; Burkholderiales; Alcaligenaceae
Description: partial 16S-23S ribosomal RNA intergenic spacer
Rfam family: Bacterial small subunit ribosomal RNA
Source: RNAcentral
AGUUCGAUCAUGGCUCAGAUUGAACGCUGGCGGAUGCUUACACAGCGCAAGUCGAACGGCAGCACGGACUUCGGUCUGGUGGCGAGUGGCGAACGGGUGAGUAAUGUAUCGGAAACGUGCCUAGUAGGGGGAUAACUACGCGAAAGCGGUAGCCAUACCGCAUACGCCCUUCGGGGGAAAGUGUGGACCUCGGGCCUUCAAAUUAGAGCGGCCGAUAUCGGAUUAGCCGUUGGUGGGGUACCCGCUCACCAAGGCGACGAUCCGUAGCUGGUUUGAGAGACGACCAGCCACACUGGGACUGAGACACGGCCCAGACCUCCUACGGGGAGGCAGCAGUGGGGAAUUUUGGACAAUGGGGAAAACCCUGAUCCAGCCAUCCCGCGUGUGCGAUGAAGGCCUUCGGGUUGUAAAGCACUUUUUGGCAGGAGAAACGGUACCGGGAUGUUCCUGUGCAACUGACGGUACCUGCAACAAGCACCGGCUAACUACGUGCCAGCAGCCGCGGUAAUACGUAGGUGCAAGCGUUAAUCGGAAUUACUGGGCGUAAAGCGUGCGAGGCGGUUCGAAAAGAAAGAUGUGGAAAUCCAGAGCUUAACUUUGGAACUGCAUUUUUAACUACCGAGCUAGAGUGUGUCAGAGUGGAGGUGGAAUUCGCGUGUAGCGGUGAAAUGCGUAGAUACGUGAGAACACCGACGGCGAAGGCAGCCUGAUAACACUGACGCUCAUGCACGAGCGUGGGGAGCAAACAGGAGUUGAUAUAUUCCUGGUAGUCCACGCUCCUGCAACGAUGCCAACUAGCUGUUGGGGCCUUCGGGCUCUUGGUAGCGCAGUUAACGCGUGAAGUUGACCGCCUGGGGAGUACGGUCGCAAGAUUAAAACUCAAAGGAAUUGACGGGGACCCGCAAGCGGUGGAUGAUGUGGAUUAAUUCGAUGCAACGCGAAAAACCUUACCUACCUCGACAUGUCUGGAAUCCUGAAGAGAUUUGGGAGUGCUCGCAAGAGAACCGGAACACAGGUGCUGCAUGGCUGUCGUCAGCUCGUGUCGAGAUGCUGGGCGUUGGUGUCCUGCAACGAGCGCAACCCUUGUCAUUAGUUGCCAGAAAGGGCACUCUAAUGAGACUGCCGGUGACAAACCGGGAGGAAGCGGGGAUGACGUCAAGUCCUCAUGGCCCUUAGCGGUAGGGCUUCACACGUCAUACAAUGGUCGGGACAGAGGGUCGCCAACCCGCGAGGGGGAGCCAAUCCCAGAAACCCGAUCGUAGUCCGGAUCGCAGUCUGUAAACUGACCGAAGUCGGAAUCGCUAGUAAUCGCGGAUCAGCAUGUCGCGGUGAAUACGUUCCCGGGUCUUGUACACACCGCCCGUCACACCAUGGGAGUGGCCACCAGAAGUAGUUAGCCUAACCGUAAGGAGGGCGAUUACCACGGUAGGAUUCAUGAUCAGUGAAGUCGUAACAAGGUAG